GCUCAUGGGGGGGGGUGGUCCCCGGGCCGCCUGUGCUGGGGGUGGGGGGGCGGCUCAGGCCUCGGGCCCCCCGGGGAAAUCACGUGGGGGGAAGGGCUGCGUGGGAGAGGGCCCCUGACUGUUCCUAGGUUCCCCACACUUGAAACAACCGGAGUGACCCGCGGGCACAUGGCGACACAGACGUGGGCAGUCCCGCGACGGAGCGUUAUUCAGCAGUGAACGGGAGCGGUCACCGCGCUGCUGGGACGAGGUGGCGCGGGGACCUGAGGCUCCGAGGCGGGAGCGGACACAGGGGCCGCAUGCAGGCGGUUCUGCCUCCGGAAGCAUCUGGAAGAGGCACGGCCACAAGUCAAGGGGGAUGGAUCGCUGGGGCCCAGGGAGGGGGCGGAGGUGAGCGUCCUCCCGAGUGACGGAAAUGUUCUAAAAAUGGGCAGAGGUGAUGGUGGCGCGGCCCCGUGAUGUGCUGGAAGCUGUGCGUUCCCCGUGGUGUGAGGAUCACGCUCAGUGACGCCGAGGGGCCCCGGAGGGGAGAGCUGUGCAGCUGCAGGGGUGCCCGCCGCGGGGCCGGCCGGGGUCGGGGAAUGGAGCCCCUGGCCUCCCAGCGCCUGGCGUCCCUUGGGAUCCUCAUGGCUCUGGAGCCACAUCUGGGCGAGCCGGGGCAGCAGUAGACUCAUGGGAAGGUAGCAUCUGGGCCGCCUCUGGCUGGCGUGGGGGCCUCCUCUGAGGGGGUGCUCAGCCGGGGGUGCGGGGGAGCCGGGUACAGGGCCCCCCAGGAUCACAGCCCGGGGGAGGGGCGAGGGCUGACCUGGGUGAGCAGAUGGGGGUGAGCCCUGGCCGGGGUGCUUCCAGGACUUGGAUGGGGCCGUGGGAAAGCGAGCAGCCGGAGGCAGAUGUCAGGCCUCCGUCCCGCCCCGAGUCCUCCCGGGCCGCCAGCUCCACCAGCCCCUCUGCCUGCAGGAAGGCCCGGCCCAGAGAGAUGCCCUGGGUCGCUACCGGCCCCACGCCCCGGCCUCGGCAGCCUGACCCUCCCCAGGAACCCCGGGACAACUCACACCCUCGGGGCACCGAGAACCCCGAGAUGCGUCCCCAGAUCCCUCACUGCGCCCACCCCCGGGGACCAAGUGCUGGAGCUCACAGCCUCGCCAGGAGGAGACCCUCAGACCCAGGGGACUCGGGGCCACCCCAGGACCUGGCGACACCUGCAGGACGAGCUGGGCAGCCCCGGACGUGCAGACAGGUCAUCUGCAGAGAAUCCGGGAGCUGGGGGGGUUAUGAGAGGAGCCCCCCCCCCCAAGACUUCGAUGUGGACGGACAUUUCCCAGGGAAAACGCAGAAAGCGGAAAGGAAACAGGUCCUCUGCCUUAAUCAAAGUAGAACCUUCUGCACCGAGAAAAUAUCCAAACAUUGGAAGCAAUGUGUCCGCCGAGAUGUGCAGCUGGCAAGCCCAGGAGCCUUGUCGGGGAGCCCCCCUCCCUGCGCCCCCUCCCGCCUGGACCCUGGUGGCUGGAGAGCAGCGGCCACGGGAGGUGGUGGUGGGGGGGAAGAAUUAGGCCCUACACCUUGGGGGACCGAGACCUGUCUUUCUUGCUGGGGGGUCCCUCCCGGGUGGAUGGAGGGACGACAGAAGCGUGUGUCUGUCAGAAUGAAGGUCGGG
RNAcentral lists this long non-coding RNA (1654 nucleotides) under Canis lupus familiaris (dog). Its description in RNAcentral is "lncRNA (ENSCAFG00030014905.1)". The record is from RNAcentral. Lineage: Eukaryota; Metazoa; Chordata; Mammalia; Carnivora; Canidae.